UACGUAGGGACCAAGCGUUGUCCGGAAUCAUUGGGCGUAAAGCGCGUGUAGGCGGUUCGGUAAGUCCGCUGUGAAAGUCGGGGGCUCAACCCUCGGAUGCCGGUGGAUACUGUCGAGCUUGAGUACGGAAGAGGCGAGUGGAAUUCCUGGUGUAGCGGUGAAAUGCGCAGAUAUCGGGAAGAACACCCGUGGCGAAGGCGGCUCUCUGGGACGGUACUGACGCUGAGACGCGAAAGCGUGGGGAGCGAACAGG
RNAcentral lists this ribosomal RNA (253 nucleotides) under uncultured bacterium. RNAcentral describes it as "partial 16S ribosomal RNA". It matches the Rfam family "Bacterial small subunit ribosomal RNA", at positions 524 to 776 of the family's 1533-position model. The record is from RNAcentral.